UGUCACUGCUCUAAAACGAGGGUUCGAAUCCCUCUUAGACCGCUUUAAUUAUGCACUAAUGACUGAAUAGGAAA
RNAcentral lists this transfer RNA (74 nucleotides) under Cellulophaga phage Calle_1. Its description in RNAcentral is "tRNA-Thr". Lineage: Duplodnaviria; Heunggongvirae; Uroviricota; Caudoviricetes; Pervagoviridae. The record is from RNAcentral.